GAUGAACGCUGGCGGCGUGCCUAAUACAUGCAAGUCGAGCGAACGGACGAGACGCUUGCUUCUCUGAUGUUAGCGGCGGACGGGUGAGUAACACGUGGAUACCCUCCCUAUAAGACUGGGAUCACUUCGGGAAACCGGCGCUAAUCCCGGAUGAUAUUUUGAACCGCAUGGUUCAAAAGUGAAAGACGGUCUUGCUGUCUCUUAUAGCUGGAUCUGCGCUGCAUUAGAUAGUUGGUAAGGUAACGGCUUACCAAGGCAACGAUGCAUAGCCGACCUGAGAGGGGGAUCGGCCACACUGGAACGGAGACGCGGACCAGACGCCUACGGGAGGCAGCAGUAGGGAAUCUGAGGCAGUAGGCGAAAGCAUGACGGAGCAACGGCGCGUGAGUGAUGAAGGUCUUCGGAUCGUAAAACUCUGUUAUUAGGGAAGAACAUAUGUGUAAGUAACUGUGCACAGCGUGACGGUACCGAAUCAGAAAGCCACGGCUAACUACGUG
RNAcentral lists this ribosomal RNA (497 nucleotides) under uncultured bacterium. Its description in RNAcentral is "partial 16S ribosomal RNA". It matches the Rfam family "Bacterial small subunit ribosomal RNA", at positions 28 to 507 of the family's 1533-position model. The record is from RNAcentral.